This 253-nucleotide ribosomal RNA is filed under the name uncultured bacterium. RNAcentral's name for it is "partial 16S ribosomal RNA". It matches the Rfam family "Bacterial small subunit ribosomal RNA", at positions 524 to 776 of the family's 1533-position model. The record is from RNAcentral.
UACGGAGGGGGCGAGCGUUAUUCGGAAUUAUUGGGCGUAAAGGGUGCGUAGGCGGCGCGGUAAGUCGGGUGUGAAAUCUCGGAGCUUAACUCCGAAACUGCAUUCGAUACUGCCGUGCUUGAGGACUGGAGAGGAGACUGGAAUUUACGGUGUAGCGGUGAAAUGCGUAGAUAUCGUAAGGAAGACCAGUGGCGAAGGCGGGUCUCUGGACAGUUCCUGACGCUGAGGCACGAAGGUCAGGGGAGCAAACGGG